UCGUUUUCCCAAAGGAUAGAAUCCCAAAUUGAUCUCUCCUCCAUCACAGAUUGCUCAUUUCUUCUUCAUCGACUUUGUCUUCUCCACAUCAUUCGUGUUCCAGGAUCUGUUCCCAUUUGCGUUCGCAUUCCAACAUCUGUUCUAGAAUCUCUUCGUUUUCCAAUUUCUAAAAAUUCACUUCCAUGUUCCAGAAUCUGUUUGAGCAUCGACUUCUCCACAUCAUUCCAUUCGAGCAACAUUAAUCCAUGUCUAACUUCUUCUCCAUCAUUUCUAACAUUGUAAAUGGGAUGGGAAGGCCUUCUCUAGCAACCAUACAUGAGAACAUAAGGCAGCUUCUUGGAGAGAAAUCAGCCUCCUUGAUUUGAGCAGCUAGUCAAUUUGUCUCCACUCUUGAUCCAAAGGAGAGAUUAACAGCACUGCACAUCUAAGCUCGUCGGGUUCUCGAGUCGCUAGACUUGUAUUAAAUCUGAAAAAUGGUAAUGUUUCUUUAGAUUCUGGCAUUGCAUUAAUAAACUCUUCCUGAUGUCUUCGAGUAACUGGAUUCAUAUCUACGGAGUUCAUGUGCAGCGUUUGAUGUU
This is a long non-coding RNA of Benincasa hispida (wax gourd), 578 nucleotides long. RefSeq lists it as uncharacterized. NCBI's taxonomy places the organism in Eukaryota, Viridiplantae, Streptophyta, Magnoliopsida, Cucurbitales, Cucurbitaceae. The record is from RefSeq and is a predicted model, not a curated record.